Molecule: ribosomal RNA, 776 nt
Filed under: Lentilactobacillus rapi
Lineage: Bacteria; Bacillati; Bacillota; Bacilli; Lactobacillales; Lactobacillaceae
Description: bacterial SSU rRNA
Rfam family: Bacterial small subunit ribosomal RNA
Source: RNAcentral
UACAUGCAAGUCGAACGCGUCUUGGUUAAAGAUUUUAGGUGCUUGCAUUUAAAUGAUUUAACAUUGAGACGAGUGGCGAACUGGUGAGUAACACGUGGGUAACCUGCCCUUGAAGUAGGGGAUAACACUUGGAAACAGGUGCUAAUACCGUAUAACAACUCAAACCACAUGGUUUGAGUUUGAAAGAUGGCUUCGGCUGUCACUUUAGGAUGGACCCGCGGCGUAUUAGCUUGUUGGUGAGGUAACGGCUCACCAAGGCAAUGAUACGUAGCCGACCUGAGAGGGUAAUCGGCCACAUUGGGACUGAGACACGGCCCAAACUCCUACGGGAGGCAGCAGUAGGGAAUCUUCCACAAUGGACGAAAGUCUGAUGGAGCAACGCCGCGUGAGUGAUGAAGGGUUUCGGCUCGUAAAACUCUGUUGUUGGAGAAGAACAGGUGUGAGAGUAACUGUUCACAUCUUGACGGUAUCCAACCAGAAAGCCACGGCUAACUACGUGCCAGCAGCCGCGGUAAUACGUAGGUGGCAAGCGUUGUCCGGAUUUAUUGGGCGUAAAGCGAGCGCAGGCGGUUUUUUAGGUCUGAUGUGAAAGCCUUCGGCUUAACCGGAGAAGUGCAUCGGAAACCGGGAGACUUGAGUGCAGAAGAGGACAGUGGAACUCCAUGUGUAGCGGUGAAAUGCGUAGAUAUAUGGAAGAACACCAGUGGCGAAGGCGGCUGUCUGGUCUGUAACUGACGCUGAGGCUCGAAAGCAUGGGUAGCGAACAGGAUUAGAUA